RNAcentral lists this ribosomal RNA (295 nucleotides) under uncultured bacterium. Its description in RNAcentral is "partial 16S ribosomal RNA". It matches the Rfam family "Bacterial small subunit ribosomal RNA", at positions 29 to 307 of the family's 1533-position model. The record is from RNAcentral.
AGCGAACGCUGGCGGCGUACUUAACACAUGCAAGUCGAACGGGGAUCGACACGUGAGCAAUCACGUGGCGGUCUUAGUGGCGUACGGGUGAGUAACACGUGGGCAACCUGCCCUUGAGUCUGGGAUAACCUCCCGAAAGGGAGGCUAAUACCGGAUACGGUCCUCGGGUCGCGAGACCUGAGGAAGAAAGGUGGCGCAAGCUACCGCUCUUGGAGGGACUCGCGGCCUAUCAGCUAGNGGUGAGGUAACGGCUCACCAAGGCUAUGACGGGUAGCUGGUCUGAGAGGACGACCAG